GUGCACACCCACACACACACACACUGAUAAGAGUUCAUUUUGAAACACUGUUAAUGUCUUGAGAAUAUAUUAAUAAUGACCUUGUAUGAACUUAUAUGCAACUCCCGAGUCCUGAGGUAACUUGAGUGAAUUUUUCACCUAACACACUGUGGCUAUACUGAAAUAAUCAAGAUCUUGGGACCUUAACUAAUAACAAGAUCUGAGACUAUGGAAUAUUCACAGUUGUAAUAUUUAAAAAAUCUUUUGUUGUGACUUUGUUAAAGAGUAAGAUUUGAAGACCCCAAAACGGGAAGACUAAUUUUUAACCUCUCACUGUGAAGAGCGUAAACAAAUUCAUAAUUUGAGUUAAGAUGUCAUUAAAAUCCCCAGGACUCCGGGACUAGGGUAAAGCACUUUUGUGGUUCUGACAUGCUGUGAUAUUUGUAAAAACGCUUAUUUAAGCAUUUAUUUUAAAAGUGGUUUUGAAUCUUUGAAUCAAUACAAAAGGAAUUACCAUAGAUUCACCAAGGUGAAAGUAUAGUGACAUUUAUAGUUCUUUGCUCAGCAAAACUGUGCAGACACAUUUGUUUUAAUAUUUAUCAGGCCGCAGCCUUUUAUUCAUGUGGACUAACUUGACGAUUCUCUUUUGUGUGCGUCAGUCCCAACAUGGCAAACACUGUGAAUGCAGCCCUGAAGCCUCUGGAGACACUCUCGCGAAUCGUCAACCAGCCCAGCAGCCUGUUCGGGGGCAAAGGAAACUCCAGCAAGAACAAGACUGAGCAUGACACAGUUGGAACCACCAGAGAUAGCAACAGCAACACCCAAGACCCAGGUAGUCAGCACGGCAGUCGCGACAGAGCUAGCAGUAUGUGAGGCGGUCUAGGCCAUAAUUCUCCAAUGUAGUCAGCACGGCAGUCGCGACAGAGCUAGCAGUAUGUGAGGCGGUCUAGGCCAUAAUUCUAAGCUGUUUUCUUACACGCUCUAUUGAACCCUCUUUCACGCACGAUCAAACCUUUUCACACGCACUAUUGAGCUCACUCAAGCUAUCAAACGGUUACACACACACACUGUCAAACUAUCCCAGUUUACCCCUUAGGGCACCGUACAUACAGGGCAUAUCCUUGCAUUAUCAAGCGGUGUGACUCAACACAAGCAUUUAGUAGGAUGCUCAACAAAAGAUAUUAACUUGUGAAUCCUUCCUUAAAAACCCUUACGGCGAGCUAAACACUGACAAACAGCGCCAGAGAGAUAGAGAUAUUCACAUGGACACAGCCAAGAAAUAACAGUUCUGAUGGAAUGCAAGGUAAUGUCCCAUGUCAUAUUACAGUGCAGUGGCUGCUCUCCAAAAAACAAAAAAAGCAAUUUUGGGUGGAAAUGAAACCUCGAUCAGGUACAAGAAAUGACUCUGGGAACACACUUGGCUAUUUGGUGAGCUGUGCUGCGCAAGUGGUUACUAGGCAACAGAAAUCUUUGGACACCACUAUCUGCAACAGUACAAGUGAAAUAUUACUUGCCGCCUUCUCAUUUUUUACUGUUGUGGUUGAAGUCAAGCCAGGGUUCAGGUCAUUGCAUGUUGCGGCCGUGUAGAAAGUUGAAAAUACUCUAUGUUGCCGUCUCUCAAUGUCAAUGUUCACAUCAGCACAACAGUUGUCACUCGCCCCAGGAAACGAUUGGAUUUGUAAAGGAUCAGCCAAAGCGGAAGGGAUUCCUGUCAUGGCAUGGAAGGGUGUAGAAAAAUAGUAAAGCCAACUCUGUGAAGGGUGUGCCCUUUAUAAGGAGUAUGAGACAUCCCAUAGUAUACUCCAGCAAACAAAUCAAGGGCGUGGCGCUGUGUAGUUUAAUAACACCACUGCUGUGUAGUUUAAUAACACCACUGCUGUGUAGUUUAGUAACACCACUGCUGUGUAGUUUAGUAACACCACUGCUGUGUAGUUUAGUAACACC
This is a long non-coding RNA of Clupea harengus (Atlantic herring), 1923 nucleotides long. The record is from Ensembl. Lineage: Eukaryota; Metazoa; Chordata; Actinopteri; Clupeiformes; Clupeidae.